RNAcentral lists this ribosomal RNA (348 nucleotides) under uncultured bacterium. RNAcentral's name for it is "bacterial SSU rRNA". It matches the Rfam family "Bacterial small subunit ribosomal RNA", at positions 28 to 380 of the family's 1533-position model. The record is from RNAcentral.
GAUGAACGCUAGCGGCAGGCUUAACACAUGCAAGUCGAGGGGUAUGCUUCUUCGGAAGCAGAGACCGGCGCACGGGUGCGUAACGCGUAUGCAAUCUACCUUUUACAGAGGGAUAGCCCAGAGAAAUUUGGAUUAAUACCUCAUAGUAUUAUAGAAUGGCAUCAUUUUAUAAUUAAAGUCACAACGGUAAAAGAUGAGCAUGCGUCCCAUUAGCUAGUUGGAAGGUAACGGCUCACCAAGGCUACGAUGGGUAGGGGUCCUGAGAGGGAGAUCCCCCACACUGGUACUGAGACACGGACCAGACUCCUACGGGAGGCAGCAGUGAGGAAUAUUGGACAAUGGGCGCAA